This 245-nucleotide ribosomal RNA is filed under the name uncultured Peptostreptococcaceae bacterium. RNAcentral describes it as "partial 16S ribosomal RNA". It matches the Rfam family "Bacterial small subunit ribosomal RNA", at positions 524 to 769 of the family's 1533-position model. Lineage: Bacteria; Bacillati; Bacillota; Clostridia; Peptostreptococcales; Peptostreptococcaceae. The record is from RNAcentral.
UACGUAGGGGGCGAGCGUUAUCCGGAAUCACUGGGCGUAAAGGGUGCGUAGGCGGCCGAGUAAGCCAGAGGUGAAAGGCUACGGCUUAACCGUAGUAAGCCUUUGGAACUACUUGGCUUGAGUGCAGGAGAGGAGAGUGGAAUUCCUAGUGUAGCGGUGAAAUGCGUAGAUAUUAGGAGGAACACCAGUGGCGAAGGCGACUCUCUGGACUGUAACUGACGCUGAGGCACGAAAGCGUGGGGAGC